CAAAACCCCCAAUGUGAACGUUACCAAACUGUUGCCUCGGCGGGGUCACGCCCCGGGUGCGUCGCAGCCCCGGAACCAGGCGCCCGCCGGAGGAACCAACCAAACUCUUUCUGUAGUCCCCUCGCGGACGUAUUUCUUACAGCUCUGAGCAAAAAUUCAAAAUGAAUCAAAACUUUCAACAACGGAUCUCUUGGUUCUGGCAUCGAUGAAGAACGCAGCGAAAUGCGAUAAGUAAUGUGAAUUGCAGAAUUCAGUGAAUCAUCGAAUCUUUGAACGCACAUUGCGCCCGCCAGUAUUCUGGCGGGCAUGCCUGUCCGAGCGUCAUUUCAACCCUCGAACCCCUCCGGGGGAUCGGCGUUGGGGAUCGGGACCCCUCACACGGGUGCCGGCCCCGAAAUACAGUGGCGGUCUCGCCGCAGCCUCUCCUGCGCAGUAGUUUGCACAACUCGCACCGGGAGCGCGGCGCGUCCACGUCCGUAAAACACCCAACUUUCUGAAAUGUUGACCUCGGAUCAGGUAGGAAUACCCGCUGAACUUAAGCAUAUCAAUAAGCGGAAAAA
Molecule: ribosomal RNA, 560 nt
Filed under: Trichoderma asperellum
Lineage: Eukaryota; Fungi; Ascomycota; Sordariomycetes; Hypocreales; Hypocreaceae
Description: eukaryotic LSU rRNA
Rfam family: 5.8S ribosomal RNA (bases 171-324)
Source: RNAcentral